Molecule: unclassified non-coding RNA, 365 nt
Filed under: Hevea brasiliensis (rubber tree)
Lineage: Eukaryota; Viridiplantae; Streptophyta; Magnoliopsida; Malpighiales; Euphorbiaceae
Source: RNAcentral
UGGUUUGUAGGUACUGAUUGGUUAAUUAGGUUCUGUCUUGGUUGCUGACUGAUAUCCGACAACUGUUGCUGCGGCUGCAUAAUGGAACCUGCUGGACUCAAUGUGGUAGUUGGUAUCUUCUGAAGCUGGUCGAGCUGCUGAACCUGUUGGGUUGGCCUUUGGGAACCAAACUGCAAAGUAUUCUGCUGAGGAAGCUGAGGUGCUGGUAGACAUAACUGACGCGAGAGGUCUGCUCCACCUCCUACAUUCUGUAGCACGGAACCAGACAAAGAAUGCAGGUAGUUCGGUUGCAUUGAGUUAGCCAAAGAAGGAUUCUGUUGCAUGUUCAUCCAUUGGACUAAGCUCAGGCCUGGAAGACCUUGCGG